UCAUUUUGCAGCUCUUUUAUAAUUUGUCUAAUAGGUUUUCUGGCUUUCGCCAGAGGACCCUC
RNAcentral lists this small nuclear RNA (62 nucleotides) under Dasypus novemcinctus (nine-banded armadillo). RNAcentral describes it as "U7 small nuclear RNA (ENSDNOG00000026141.1)". It matches the Rfam family "U7 small nuclear RNA". Rfam says of the family: Animal histone pre-mRNAs are spliced by a different mechanism than nuclear pre-mRNAs and self-splicing introns. This processing involves the U7 snRNP, which contains only one RNA species: U7. The record is from RNAcentral. Lineage: Eukaryota; Metazoa; Chordata; Mammalia; Cingulata; Dasypodidae.